GAUGAAGAACGUAGCGAAAUGCGAUACGUAGUGUGAAUUGCAGAAUUCAGUGAAUCAUCGAAUCUUUGAACGCACAUUGCGCCCGCCAGCAUUCUGGCGGGCAUGCCUGUUCGAGCGUCAUUUCAACCCUCGAGCCCCCCCGGGGGCCUCGGUGUUGGGGGACGGCACACCAGCCGCCCCCGAAAUGCAGUGGCGACCCCGCCGCAGCCUCCCCUGCGUAGUAGCACACACCUCGCACCGGAGCGCGGAGGCGGUCACGCCGUAAAACGCCCAACUUUCUUAGAGUUGACCUCGGAUCAGGUAGGAAUACCCGCUGAACUUAAGCAUAUCAAUAAGCGGAGGA
RNAcentral lists this unclassified non-coding RNA (343 nucleotides) under soil metagenome. Its description in RNAcentral is "partial contains 5.8S ribosomal RNA, internal transcribed spacer 2, and large subunit ribosomal RNA". The stretch from base 1 to 120 matches the Rfam family "5.8S ribosomal RNA", at positions 35 to 154 of the family's 154-position model. The record is from RNAcentral.